UCAGCCCGUGCAGCUAUUUACCUCUGUUGC
Molecule: non-coding RNA, 30 nt
Filed under: Homo sapiens (human)
Lineage: Eukaryota; Metazoa; Chordata; Mammalia; Primates; Hominidae
Source: RNAcentral